GUGCUCGCUUCAGCAGCACAUAGAUUAAAAUUGGAACAAUACAGAAAAGAUCAGCAUGACCCCUGUGCAAGAAUGACACAAAAAUUUGGGAAGUGUUUCAUAUUUUA
Small nuclear RNA from Rhinolophus ferrumequinum (greater horseshoe bat), 107 nucleotides. NCBI's taxonomy places the organism in Eukaryota, Metazoa, Chordata, Mammalia, Chiroptera, Rhinolophidae. The record is from Ensembl.